CCCGGGCGGCCCGGCGCCCGCCGGACAACGACGAGACCCCCCAAACGUCGACCUCGAAUCAGGUAGGGAUACCCGCUGAACUUAAGCAUAUCAAUAAGCGGAGGAAAAGAAACCAACAGGGAUUGCCUCAGUAACGGCGAGUGAAGCGGCAGCAGCUCAAAUUUGAAAUCUGGCGCCCCCCGGCGUCCGAGUUGUAAUUUGCAGAGGAUGCUUCGGCGUAGGCGCCGCCCAAAGUUCCUUGGAACGGGACGUCGCAGAGGGUGAGAGCCCCGUGUUCGGGCGGAUGCCUUCGCCGUGUGAAGCUCCUUCGACGAGUCGAGUUGUUUGGGAAUGCAGCUCAAAACGGGAGGUAAAUUUCUUCCAAAGCUAAAUACCGGCCGGAGACCGAUAGUGCACAAGUAGAGUGAUCGAAAGAUGAAAAGCACUUUGGAAAGAGAGUCAAACAGCGCGUGAAAUUGUUGAAAGGGAAGCGCUUGCGGUCAGAACUUGGCCGCCGUUGCUCGGGGAGGCCUCGCGCCUCCCUCGCUCUUCGGCGGCUGGGCCAGCAUCGGUUCGGGCGGCUCGAGAAAGGCCGCGGGAACGUAGCUCCCUCCGGGGAGUGUUAUAGCCCGCGGCGCAAUGGGGCCCGCCCGGAUCGAGGUCUGCGCAUCUG
RNAcentral lists this ribosomal RNA (652 nucleotides) under Dothideomycetes sp. genotype 280. Its description in RNAcentral is "eukaryotic LSU rRNA". It matches the Rfam family "Eukaryotic large subunit ribosomal RNA", at positions 1 to 605 of the family's 3401-position model. The record is from RNAcentral. Lineage: Eukaryota; Fungi; Ascomycota; Dothideomycetes.